UCUCCGUUGGUGAACCAGCGGAGGGAUCAUUACCGAGUUUACAACUCCCAAACCCAAUGUGAACGCUACCAAACUGUUGCCUCGGCGGGAUCUCUGCCCCGGGUGCGUCGCAGCCCCGGACCAAGGCGCCCGCCGGAGGACCAACCUAAAACUCUUAUUGUAUACCCCCUCGCGGGUUUUUUUAUAAUCUGAGCCUUCUCGGCGCCUCUCGUAGGCGUUUCGAAAAUGAAUCAAAACUUUCAACAACGGAUCUCUUGGUUCUG
RNAcentral lists this unclassified non-coding RNA (263 nucleotides) under plant metagenome. RNAcentral's name for it is "partial contains small subunit ribosomal RNA, internal transcribed spacer 1, and 5.8S ribosomal RNA". The record is from RNAcentral.